ACGAGUGGCGGACGGGGGAGUAAUGUCUGGGAAACGUGCCCGAUGGGGGGGGAUAACUACUGGAAACGGUAGCUAAUACCGCAUAACGUCGCAAGACCAAAGAGGGGGACCUUCGGGCCUCUUGCCAUCGGAUGUGCCCAGAUGGGAUUAGCUAGUAGGUGGGGUAACGGCUCACCUAGGCGACGAUCCCUAGCUGGUCUGAGAGGAUGACCAGCCACACUGGAACUGAGACACGGUCCAG
This 241-nucleotide ribosomal RNA is filed under the name uncultured bacterium. RNAcentral describes it as "partial 16S ribosomal RNA". It matches the Rfam family "Bacterial small subunit ribosomal RNA", at positions 91 to 334 of the family's 1533-position model. The record is from RNAcentral.